Molecule: ribosomal RNA, 395 nt
Filed under: uncultured bacterium
Lineage: Bacteria
Description: partial 16S ribosomal RNA
Rfam family: Bacterial small subunit ribosomal RNA
Source: RNAcentral
AUACGUAGGGUGCAAGCGUUAAUCGGAAUUACUGGGCGUAAAGCGUGCGCAGGCGGUUUUGUAAGACAGAGGGGAAAUCCCCGGGCUCAACCUGGGAACUGCCUUUGUGACUGCAAGGCUAGAGUACGGCAGAGGGGGGUGGCAUUCCCCGUGUAGCAGGGAAAUGCGUAGAUAUGCGGAGGAACACCGAUGGCGAAGGCAAUCCCCUGGGCCUGUACUGACGCUCAUGCACGAAAGCGUGGGGAGCAAACAGGAUUAGAUACCCUGGUAGUCCACGCCCUAAACGAUGUCAACUGGUUGUUGGGUCUUCAUUGACUCAGUAACGAAGCUAACGCGUGAAGUUGACCGCCUGGGGAGUACGGCCGCAAGGUUGAAACUUAAAGGAAUUGACGGGG